CCCAGCCUACGGGGGGCAGCAGUGGGGGAUAUUGCACAAUGGGGGGAACCCUGAUGCAGCGACGCCGCGUGGGUGAAGAAGUCAUUCGUGACGUAAAGCCCUAUCAGCAGGGAAGAAAAUGACGGUACCUGACUAAGAAGCCCCGGCUAACUACGUGCCAGCAGCCGCGGUAAUACGUAGGGGGCAAGCGUUAUCCGGAAUUACUGGGUGUAAAGGGAGCGCAGACGGCAGUGCAAGUCCGGAGUGAAAGCCCACGGCCCAACCGUGGGACUGCUCUGGAAACUGUGCGGCUUGAGUGCGGGAGG
RNAcentral lists this ribosomal RNA (305 nucleotides) under uncultured bacterium. Its description in RNAcentral is "bacterial SSU rRNA". It matches the Rfam family "Bacterial small subunit ribosomal RNA", at positions 330 to 655 of the family's 1533-position model. The record is from RNAcentral.